AUUGAACGCUGGCGGAAUGCUUUACACAUGCAAGUCGAACGGCAGCACGGGGGAAGCCCUGGUGUCGAGUGGCGAACGGGUGAGUAAUACAUCUGAACGUGCCCGUUCGCGGGGGAUAACGUAGCGGAAGGUACGCUAAUACUGCAUACGCACAGAGGCUGAAAGCGGGGGACCUUCGGCCCUCGCGCGAUCGCAGCUGCCGAUGUCAGAUUAGGUAGUUGGUGGGGUAAAGGCCUACCAAGCCGACGAUCUGUAGCUGGUCUGAGAGGACGACCAGCCACACUGGGACUGAGACACGGCCCAGACUCCUACGGGAGGCAGCAGUGGGGAAUUUUGGACAAUGGGCGCAAGCCUGAUCCAGCCAUUCCGCGUGGAGGACGAAGGCCUUCGGGUUGUAAACUGCUUUUGUACGGAAAGAAAAGGCUCUGGCUAAUACCUGGGGAUCAUGACGGUACCGUAAGAAUAAGCACCGGCUAACUACGUG
RNAcentral lists this ribosomal RNA (484 nucleotides) under uncultured bacterium. RNAcentral's name for it is "partial 16S ribosomal RNA". It matches the Rfam family "Bacterial small subunit ribosomal RNA", at positions 30 to 507 of the family's 1533-position model. The record is from RNAcentral.